Molecule: ribosomal RNA, 466 nt
Filed under: uncultured bacterium
Lineage: Bacteria
Description: partial 16S ribosomal RNA
Rfam family: Bacterial small subunit ribosomal RNA
Source: RNAcentral
GACGAACGCUGGCGGCGUGCUUAACACAUGCAAGUCGAACGGAAAGGCCCUGCUUGCAGGGUACUCGAGUGGCGAACGGGUGAGUAACACGUGGGUGAUCUGCCCUGCACUUCGGGAUAAGCUUGGGAAACUGUGUCUAAUACCGGAUAGGACCGCACUUUAGUGUGUGUGGUGGAAAGUUUUUUCGGUGUAGGGUGAGCUCGCGGCCUAUCAGCUUGUUGGUGGGGUAAUGGCCUACCAAGGCGGCGACGGGUAGCCGGCCUGAGAGGGUGUACGGCCACAUUAGGGCUGAGAUACGGCCCAGACUCCUACGGGGGGCAGCAGUGGGGAAUAUUGCACAAUGGGCGCAAGACUGAUGCAGCGACGCCGCGUGGGGGAUGAAGGCCUUCGGGUUGUAAAAUCCUUUCGCUAGGGACGAAGCGUUGUUGUGACGGUACCUAGAGAAGAAGCACCGGCUAACUACGUG